RNAcentral lists this ribosomal RNA (1124 nucleotides) under Bacillus pumilus. Its description in RNAcentral is "bacterial SSU rRNA". It matches the Rfam family "Bacterial small subunit ribosomal RNA", at positions 19 to 1125 of the family's 1533-position model. Lineage: Bacteria; Bacillati; Bacillota; Bacilli; Caryophanales; Bacillaceae. The record is from RNAcentral.
UCUGCUCAGGACGAACGCUGGCGGCGUGCCUAAUACAUGCAAGUCGAGCGGACAGAAGGGAGCUUGCUCCCGGAUGUUAGCGGCGGACGGGUGAGUAACACGUGGGUAACCUGCCUGUAAGACUGGGAUAACUCCGGGAAACCGGAGCUAAUACCGGAUAGUUCCUUGAACCGCAUGGUUCAAGGAUGAAAGACGGUUUCGGCUGUCACUUACAGAUGGACCCGCGGCGCAUUAGCUAGUUGGUGAGGUAACGGCUCACCAAGGCGACGAUGCGUAGCCGACCUGAGAGGGUGAUCGGCCACACUGGGACUGAGACACGGCCCAGACUCCUACGGGAGGCAGCAGUAGGGAAUCUUCCGCAAUGGACGAAAGUCUGACGGAGCAACGCCGCGUGAGUGAUGAAGGUUUUCGGAUCGUAAAGCUCUGUUGUUAGGGAAGAACAAGUGCAAGAGUAACUGCUUGCACCUUGACGGUACCUAACCAGAAAGCCACGGCUAACUACGUGCCAGCAGCCGCGGUAAUACGUAGGUGGCAAGCGUUGUCCGGAAUUAUUGGGCGUAAAGGGCUCGCAGGCGGUUUCUUAAGUCUGAUGUGAAAGCCCCCGGCUCAACCGGGGAGGGUCAUUGGAAACUGGGAAACUUGAGUGCAGAAGAGGAGAGUGGAAUUCCACGUGUAGCGGUGAAAUGCGUAGAGAUGUGGAGGAACACCAGUGGCGAAGGCGACUCUCUGGUCUGUAACUGACGCUGAGGAGCGAAAGCGUGGGGAGCGAACAGGAUUAGAUACCCUGGUAGUCCACGCCGUAAACGAUGAGUGCUAAGUGUUAGGGGGUUUCCGCCCCUUAGUGCUGCAGCUAACGCAUUAAGCACUCCGCCUGGGGAGUACGGUCGCAAGACUGAAACUCAAAGGAAUUGACGGGGGCCCGCACAAGCGGUGGAGCAUGUGGUUUAAUUCGAAGCAACGCGAAGAACCUUACCAGGUCUUGACAUCCUCUGACAACCCUAGAGAUAGGGCUUUCCCUUCGGGGACAGAGUGACAGGUGGUGCAUGGUUGUCGUCAGCUCGUGUCGUGAGAUGUUGGGUUAAGUCCCGCAACGAGCGCAACCCUUGAUCUUAGUUGCCAGCAUU